RNAcentral lists this long non-coding RNA (729 nucleotides) under Trifolium pratense (red clover). RNAcentral's name for it is "long non-coding RNA (TPRA_LNC002212)". Lineage: Eukaryota; Viridiplantae; Streptophyta; Magnoliopsida; Fabales; Fabaceae. The record is from RNAcentral.
GGCGAAGGCUAGCAUGGGAAAGGGACCUAGGUCUCCCACCGUGGGAAAGUUCCCUGAACCGUUGGAUGAAGAAUGAUAUCAUGCACCAUCUGUACUUUAUAUUUUUUUUCUGUCUCUCUCUCUCUCUUCCCAUCAUCUCUCGUGUCUCUGCCUUUCUUGUUCUUCUUGUGUAUGCUUUCCUUUCUUCUACCUCAAAAUCACACCAUCUUUAUUUUCUUUAAAUCAAUAAAAUAAUACACAAACCUCCCAAUUUAAACUNNNNNNNNNNNNNNNNNNNNNNNNNNNNNNNAGGGAAUAUAGAAAAAUCCAAUCAAGCAAUUGAAGAACAAAAUCAAUUUAAGGCCUAUUGAAUCCAACACAAAAUCAACAUAAGAACCAAACAGUUUUCCUUGUUUAUGAGUUUUUAGUGUGUUGCUUUAAAGACUUAUGUUUUGUGUUUGGCUUGUUCUUUUGAUUUUUUGGUGUUGGCCUUCCUGUUAGCUUUAAAACUAGCUACAGUUCCUGUAUUUAUUUCCUGUAUUUGUCAUAAGAAAUAGCAAAUUAUAGAAGUAGUAGUUGUGUGGAAUUUGUGUUUAAUUAAACUAUGAACAAAAAGAAAUUGAAUGGAAAGAUGAAGAGAUGAAAGAAAAUAGAGCCAGAGAGCCUGCAGAUGAUGGAAAGAGAGAGAGAGAGAGAGAGAGAGAAAAAAUGAUAGGAUAAGGAUGGUGCAUGAUAUCAUUCUUCAUCCAA